Molecule: small nuclear RNA, 103 nt
Organism: Phodopus roborovskii (desert hamster)
Lineage: Eukaryota; Metazoa; Chordata; Mammalia; Rodentia; Cricetidae
Source: RefSeq, a predicted model, not a curated record
GUACUUGAUUUGGCAGCACAUACACUAAAACUGAAAUGAUACAGAGGUUAGCAUGUCCCUGUGCAGGGAUGACAUGAUAAUUUGCAAAGUGUUCCAUAUUUUU